Molecule: ribosomal RNA, 505 nt
Filed under: Cremnops washingtonensis
Lineage: Eukaryota; Metazoa; Arthropoda; Insecta; Hymenoptera; Braconidae
Description: eukaryotic LSU rRNA
Source: RNAcentral
UGCUGGUUUUGUUGGUUGGGUUAAAUCUUCCAUUCAGAGCUAGCACAUUUUCAUGUUAUUUUAUUGCUGUGCUAUUGUCGGCGUGCACUUCUCUCUUAGUAGGACGUCCCGACCCGUUAAGCCUUAGCCUACGGCCCGAAUGGUAGCCUUUAAUAUUUUUAUAUUAAAGACCUUUGGUGUUUGUCUGGCCUAAGUACUUGACGGUAGUUAUGAUAUGGUAUUAAGCCGCAAAUUUUUUUGCGUCCGGCCUGCCGCAAGUUUAUUGACAAAUUCUGUAUUAUCAUAGACCUUGUGCUAUGUAUAUGGUUUUGUUGGCUGUUUGCAUGGCUGUGCUCUUGGACUGGCUGAUGAUAUACCUGUCAGGGACGCUUAGGCUUUGGGUACUCUCAGGACCCGUCUUGAAACACGGACCAAGGAGUCUAACAUGUACGCGAGUCAUUGGGUAUAUAUUUUCCUUCGGGAAUUUAUAUAAAACAAACCUAAAGGCGAAAUGAAAGUAAAGGUC